AACGAACGCUGGCGGCAUGCCUAACACAUGCAAGUCGAACGGGACCUUCGGGUCUAGUGGCGCUCGGGUGCGUAACGCGUGGGAACCUGCCCUUAGGUUCCGGAUAAUUCCCUUUAAGGGGUGCUAAUACAGGGUAAUGUAUUCGGACAAAAGAUUUAUCGCCUUUGGAUGGGCCCGCGAUGGUUUAGCUAGUUGGUAGGGUAAAAGCCUACCAAGGCUACGAUUCUUAGCUGGUCUGAGAGGAUGAUCAGCCACACUGGGACUGAGACACGGCCCAGACUCCUACGGGAGGCAGCAGUGGGGAAUAUUGGACAAUGGGCGAAAGCCUGAUCCAGCAAUGCCGCGUGAGUGAUGAAGGCCGUAGGGUUGUAAAGCUCUUUUACCCGGGAUGAUAAUGACAGUACCGGGAGAAUAAGCACCGGCUAACUCCGUG
RNAcentral lists this ribosomal RNA (433 nucleotides) under uncultured bacterium. RNAcentral describes it as "partial 16S ribosomal RNA". It matches the Rfam family "Bacterial small subunit ribosomal RNA", at positions 29 to 507 of the family's 1533-position model. The record is from RNAcentral.